This 603-nucleotide ribosomal RNA is filed under the name bacterium 2e100109. RNAcentral describes it as "bacterial SSU rRNA". It matches the Rfam family "Bacterial small subunit ribosomal RNA", at positions 325 to 938 of the family's 1533-position model. The record is from RNAcentral.
CACGGCCCAGACUCCUACGGGAGGCAGCAGUGGGGAAUAUUGCACAAUGGGCGAAAGCCUGAUGCAGCGACGCCGCGUGAGGGAUGACGGCCUUCGGGUUGUAAACCUCUUUCAGCAGGGAAGAAGCGAGAGUGACGGUACCUGCAGAAGAAGCGCCGGCUAACUACGUGCCAGCAGCCGCGGUAAUACGUAGGGCGCAAGCGUUGUCCGGAAUUAUUGGGCGUAAAGAGCUCGUAGGCGGCUUGUCACGUCGAUUGUGAAAGCCCGAGGCUUAACCUCGGGUCUGCAGUCGAUACGGGCUAGCUAGAGUGUGGUAGGGGAGAUCGGAAUUCCUGGUGUAGCGGUGAAAUGCGCAGAUAUCAGGAGGAACACCGGUGGCGAAGGCGGAUCUCUGGGCCAUUACUGACGCUGAGGAGCGAAAGCGUGGGGAGCGAACAGGAUUAGAUACCCUGGUAGUCCACGCCGUAAACGGUGGGAACUAGGUGUUGGCGACAUUCCACGUCGUCGGUGCCGCAGCUAACGCAUUAAGUUCCCCGCCUGGGGAGUACGGCCGCAAGGCUAAAACUCAAAGGAAUUGACGGGGGCCCGCACAAGCGGCGGAGC